RNAcentral lists this ribosomal RNA (386 nucleotides) under Dirofilaria immitis (dog heartworm nematode). RNAcentral describes it as "SSU rRNA". It matches the Rfam family "Eukaryotic small subunit ribosomal RNA", at positions 643 to 1030 of the family's 1831-position model. Lineage: Eukaryota; Metazoa; Nematoda; Chromadorea; Rhabditida; Onchocercidae. The record is from RNAcentral.
GCAUCUUAGAACUUGGUCCAUCCAAAUGGAUGUGAACUAGGAUUCUAGACUAAAUAUUACAAGUUUUCUAUAUGUUACCUUAAUUGGUUGCAUAUAGUAGCUAGUAAGUUUACCUUGAAAAAAUUAGAGUGCUCAAUGCGGGCUUAAUGCCUGAAUACUCGUGCAUGGAAUAAUAAAAUAGGAUCUUGGUUCUAUUUUGUUGGUUUUCUGAUCUAAGAUAAUGGUUAAGAGGGACGGACGGGGGCAUUCGUAUCGCUACGUGAGAGGUGAAAUUCUUGGACCGUAGCGAGACGUACAACUGCGAAAGCAUUUGCCAAGAAUGUCUUCAUUAAUCAAGAACGAAAGUCAGAGGUUCGAAGGCGAUCAGAUACCGCCCUAGUUCUGAC